AUCAAUAUCUACUCACUGAUUGACAAGGAGUUACUACGGUGGCUGAAUGGAGAAGGAUCGCUGACCCUGAUCACCUAAAUAAAUUAUAUUAUAAUUUAAUCAGUACUAUUUCAAAAUAAGACUCUAAAGAGACAAAAGACAGGCUAAUUUAUGCUGAAAAUCUGGCAGAAUUUCUCCUGCACUUAGGACAUACUCAACCUACAAGAUAGUUCAAAUAAUACUUCUAAAUCACAAUUCCCACAUCUACAUCCCAUCAACAUCACAUGGCCUUUCCUGAGCCCUCCAAACAGGUAAUUCUCACAAAAUUAAAAAAUUACUUUUUAGUCUCUAAAACUAUUAUUCUACAAAAAUCACUCAAACGAGCUUUAAAAAUUAUAAAAUUUUGUCCUGCGGUCAUUAACAAGGUUAUAAGUUGCAACAAGAAUCAUAAUUUUCUAAUCACCUAUGAAUAUUUUAUGAAUUUUCUUCUAAAUAAGGUAUUAAGCAAAAAUGAAUAACUUGUACUUUGGGUUUACCUUUUACUAACAGGCUCUUCCAAAAUUGAUUCUAGUCAUACUUACUGCCAUAACUCUUGUCCUUGUACUUCUCAGUGACUUGUGACUAUCACUCAUACAUAUAUCUUCCGGCUCUAUCUCCUACUGUCGUUCUGUCACUUAUUUUCAUUCAUGUUUCUUUAUAAAGUGACCCUGUAGGUCAUACUGAAAAUGCUUACCUAACCCUUGAUCGUAGACCCCAUAACUUCUAUCUUACCUUCUCUACUCAAGACCUAAGCCUAUGUGCCAUUUUCCACCAUUCUUUUUGUUCGUCAUGCCUAUUUGAACCAUUAAGUUUUCUUUUAUUUAACUUGCUACUUAUUAAUUUACUCCUUUGCCUAAUAGGACAGUUCAAGACACUAUUGCACAUCCUAUAACCUUUGCGUGCUCUGGUUGCAUUCCUCAACUAACUUUCCUCACAUUAUUAGAAGUUUAAAUGGAUCUUAUCCUAGUGCUACCUACUCCAUCUUGGGAACAGGAAUAGACAAAGUUUUAUCCAUAUCUUGCAACUCUGAACUCUAUGUUUUGGCUCCUGACACUGCCCGAACUAUGACUUGCUCCAAGUCCUAUACUUCUAGAUC
This 1114-nucleotide unclassified non-coding RNA is filed under the name Hevea brasiliensis (rubber tree). Lineage: Eukaryota; Viridiplantae; Streptophyta; Magnoliopsida; Malpighiales; Euphorbiaceae. The record is from RNAcentral.